This 4694-nucleotide small RNA is filed under the name Pan troglodytes (chimpanzee). RNAcentral describes it as "retained intron". The record is from RNAcentral. Lineage: Eukaryota; Metazoa; Chordata; Mammalia; Primates; Hominidae.
AAGUCAAAGUAGUAGCAGUUGAACAUACUAUUCCCAAGAAGUACUUAAGUUCAAUUGAUUGUAAAUUAGAUCAAACUGCUGGAAGAACAGAUUCUUCAAAUGGACUUGAGUGAGUGCCAGCUUUUAAAAAAUUGUCUGAAAUACAUGCUACAGGAUUUAACUAUCAGAAUGAAGAUGAAAAAGUCACCUUGUCUUUCCCUAGUACUCUGCAAACAGGUAAUAACUCUUUCCAAUACUUUGUAUUUUGUUUAGUAUGCCACUUUUUGGAAGUGGUCACUGUCAAUAUCUUGUUAUGGUUUGAUGGCCUUGGAGAUUUAAAACCGAGUAAAAGUGUACGGGAACCUUAAAGAUAGAUUUUGUUGGAGAGCUGAAUGACAAAAUGAAAGGUUUCUAUAGAAGUAAAUAUACUACCCCUUCUGGAGAGGUGCGCUAUGCUGCUGUAACACAGUUUGAGGUAUGGGUUAUUCUUCUCUAAAAUACUAUUAUUCUUAAAUUAGGCAUUCUGACAAAGCUGUGUUUUAUUAUGUGGGGUGAUUAUUUGAGGCUCGGUGCCCUUGGCCAUGAUUGUAUUCACAAUUUUAGAAUUUUUAUUUUGUAUUUAGCCAUUCUCUCUAUAGAAAGGAGGGAAUUAAGGGUAUGGGUUGGGGAAUGAUUAUAUACAGUUAUACACACAGACACUCAAACACACGACACAUUUUGAUACCUGAAUUGCCUAUAUACUGUGUACCUUUCUUAAAAUCAUUCUCUUAGUAUUUGACUCCUAUGGCUUUUCCUACAGUGUUAUUAGCUGUUUUCUGGAAUUCCUUUCCUUCUUUGACAUCUUUUGUUUAUCUUACUGUAGUAUCUGUGCUGUCUUUGAUUUUUUUUUUCCUCCGUGUGUGUGUGUGUGUGUGUGUGUAUACAUAUAUAUACACACACACACAUAUAUAUAUUUGCUGUCCUGUGUAGGCCAGGAUGAUUUUUAUUUGUCAAGUAUUUGCAAAUUAUAUAAAUUGUUUUGAAUCUGCUAGUCGUAUUUUUAAGUGUUAAAUCUAAAUUUAUUUCUAUAAAUUUCAAUAUGGAUAAAGAAACAAUUCAUGAUAUCCAUUCUUAUGUUUCUGCCCAUAUCCCUAUAUUGUUUGCUUGUUGGGGAUAACCUAAAAUUUUUUAUCCAGUUUACUACUAAUUUGUUUUACCUGAUGUAUCUUCUUUCAAUAAUUUUAUGUUACCUUCUGUUUAGAAUAAUAUUUGCCACAGAUAUUUAGGUUUAAUUCUGUGUUUGAAUGAUUCUAAUGCCUUUCUCUACCCACUUUGAACACUUCAUCCUGGAAUGGUUGGCUGAUGUAUGUCUCUAAACAAUUUUUUUUUAGGAGAAGGUAUGUGGGUAAUGUAAUUCCUGAGCCUUUGCUUUUCUGAAAAAUCUUUCAUUUGCCUUUAUACAUGACCAGAUUUACUGGGUAUAUAGAUUUGUUGAUGAAAAAAGGUAAAAAGAGCAACUUUUGACAUCCAGAGGUUGUCUGGCACUCACAGCUAGCCCAUGUUAUUCUCCCUAUUAGACAUAAUAUUACAGAAUACCAACUUUAGACAAGGCUACUUGAGACCAUAAUAAAGUGAGACAAAACAAGGGAUCCAUAAUUUUGCCUAGGUACAGUACAUACAGGAUCACUAUGCUACCCGCAAAAUAUCAAACAUCUCCAUCUCUCAGUUAAAAUGAGUGACUACUGCUUCUUUACCAAUUACGGUUUUAGAUUUGCUCUAGUCUGGCCUCUGUAUAGAUAAGAUUUAUUGAGAUACAUACCCAUAGAAUUGCCUCAUAGGACUUCUUGCAGCACUCAAUCUAGAGUGAAUCCCUGUUUACUUAGACCCUCUUCCAAAUCAUGUAAACCAAAUCCCAAAUCGUAUAGUGGGUUCUUUCUUACAUUCUUAUGGAGACACCAGUGGUUCCCUAUGGUGUGAGUUCUCUCUUGCCAUGAGUAAUAGGCCCAGCUCAUUCAAUUGUAAGAGUAGUACAAUCAGCUUACAAUUUUUCACUUUCAAAAGUCUGUGAAUAUUGUUUCCAAAGUCUUCUACAUCUCACUUUUUCAAGACGAGGGGUCACAGACUAAAAUGUUUCUUCUUCCUUUGUAGGUAAGAUGUUGUUUCGUUUUGCUUUAUUUUCUUCCUGCUUGCUUGUUAAAUUAUAUCUUGAUAUUGAAAAUUAAACUGUUUUUUAAACCAGGUGUUCACUUUUCAUUGAUUUUUGCCUAGUACUUGGUGAACCCUAUUGAUUUUUAGAUUCCGAUAAUUUUUCAGUGUGAAAGAGUUUUUCUGUUAUAUCUUCACUGUGAUAUCCAUUCCAUUCCCUUCUCAGUUAAUACUCAGUUUAGCUCUAGUAUCUGUCUCUCAAAUUAUGUUUAAUUGCUUUUAUCACUUUGUCCUUUAGAUAUUUUCAAACUUAAAUCUUGUUAUCUAUGUCAUUAAUUUCCUUUAGUAUAAAUUCAUUUCUCUGCUGCUGCUUCUAAUUUAAAUGCUUCUGUGCUGCCAUUUCUUUCCUUAUACUCUCCCUUCUUUUCAGAUGUCUUUUUUAUUCAUUGAUAGAAUUCAUUAUUUAUUUAAUGUUUUUGAGAAUAUAGUCAGCCAAGUUUCUUCUGCCUCUUUGGUUUGUUUGUUUGUUUGUUCGUUUGUUUUUUAGUCGGAGCCUUGCUCUGUCGCCCAGGCUGGAGUUCAGUGGUGCAAUCUUGGCUCACUGCAACCUCCACCUCCCAGGUUCGAGCCAUUCUCCUGCCUCAGCCUCCCGAGUAGCUGGGAUUACAGGCACAUGUCACCAUGCCUGGCUUAUUUUUGUAUUUUUAGUAGAAACGGGGUUUCACCAUGUUGACCAGGCUGGUCUCGAACUCCUGACCUCAGGUGAUCGCCCACCUCGGCCUCCCAAAGUGCUGGAAUUACAAGCAUGAGCCACUGCACCCAGCCUGUUGUUUCUUUUUAUGAUACAGAAUCUUGUCAUUGGUUCCAUUUUAUUUACUAAAUAAAUGGAAAAUUCUGUUUACUAAAGUUUCUUUCCUUUAUAACUGAUACCCUGCAGAACCCCUAAGUUUUAUUUUGCUUUCAUAAGUUUGCUCUUUUUUAAAUUUUUAAUGAAAGAGUAAGGACUCAAGUAGGUCAAGUGGCGACAGUUUUAUGUGUAGCAUAUGGAAGUGCCAUUAAAUGAAUGACCUGUCUUGAAUUGAUAGAGCAUCUGUCUUUAUUCCCAUUGCUGCCAUUCCAGAUAAAGAACAAAGCACAUCAAAGAUUGAGAAUAUUUUUAUUUUUAAUUCAAAAAUAAAAGCCAGAGAGGCAACUUACCAUGUUUUCCUAACUUUGAAUUCUUAUAGCAUACUCUUUACUGUUCUGUGCUGUGUUGUGUUAACAUUAUUGAUUUGAAGGCAUUUGCAUUAAAUUUGAAAUGUUAAAAUGUAAACAAAAAUUUAGUUGUAAAUAAUUAUAAUAUAUUGUUAAAAUCCAUAGCAGACACUGUUCCUGGAUAUUUGCUGGAAUGGCAGUGGUAGCAAGUGUUGUCUUUUCUUUCUAGUUAAUGCCUAGCUUGUUGCCUGGCACUGAAGAGAAAGUAAAUAUUUGAACAAGGGAAUGAAUGAAUGACAGAGGGAAAUGGUGACUGCUUUAUGAAAUAACUUGUUAGGUUAAUUCUAAGGUAUUUAUAUUUCAUAUUCUUUUCUUAAGGCUACUGAUGCCCGAAGGGCUUUUCCUUGCUGGGAUGAGCCUGCUAUCAAAGCAACUUUUGAUAUCUCAUUGGUUGUUCCUAAAGACAGAGUAGCUUUAUCAAACAUGAAUGUAAUUGACCGGAAACCAUACCCUGAUGAUGAAAAUUUAGUGGAAGUGAAGUUUGCCCGCACACCUGUUAUGUCUACAUAUCUGGUGGCAUUUGUUGUGGGUGAAUAUGACUUUGUAGAAACAAGGUCAAAAGAUGGUGUGUGUGUCCGUGUUUACACUCCUGUUGGCAAAGCAGAGCAAGGAAAAUUUGCGUUAGAGGUUGCUGCUAAAACCUUGCCUUUUUAUAAGGACUACUUCAAUGUUCCUUAUCCUCUACCUAAAAUUGAUCUCAUUGCUAUUGCAGACUUUGCAGCUGGUGCCAUGGAGAACUGGGGCCUUGUUACUUAUAGGGAGACUGCAUUGCUUAUUGAUCCAAAAAAUUCCUGUUCUUCAUCCCGCCAGUGGGUUGCUCUGGUUGUGGGACAUGAACUCGCCCAUCAAUGGUUUGGAAAUCUUGUUACUAUGGAAUGGUGGACUCAUCUUUGGUUAAAUGAAGGUUUUGCAUCCUGGAUUGAAUAUCUGUGUGUAGACCACUGCUUCCCAGAGUAUGAUAUUUGGACUCAGUUUGUUUCUGCUGAUUACACCCGUGCCCAGGAGCUUGACGCCUUAGAUAACAGCCAUCCUAUUGAAGUCAGUGUGGGCCAUCCAUCUGAGGUUGAUGAGAUAUUUGAUGCUAUAUCAUAUAGCAAAGGUGCAUCUGUCAUCCGAAUGCUGCAUGACUACAUUGGGGAUAAGGACUUUAAGAAAGGAAUGAACAUGUAUUUAACCAAGUUCCAACAAAAGAAUGCUGCCACAGGUAAUCUUUAAUAGCUUGAGAUAGAAAUGGAGAGAAAGUAUUGUCACUCUAUCCAGGCUGGGACAUUUUAUUUUUGUUCUGAAUAUUUAACUCAAGGUCAGGAUCCAUGUAAUAAAUAAAUUAGCCUUAUUUG